AAAUUGAAGAGUUUGAUCAUGGCUCAGAUUGAACGCUGGCGGCAGGCCUAACACAUGCAAGUCGAACGGUAACAGGAAACAGCUUGCUGUUUCGCUGACGAGUGGCGGACGGGUGAGUAAUGUCUGGGAAACUGCCUGAUGGAGGGGGAUAACUACUGGAAACGGUAGCUAAUACCGCAUAAUGUCGCAAGACUAAAGAGGGGGACCUUCGGGCCUCUUGCCAUCGGAUGUGCCCAGAUGGGAUUAGCUAGUAGGUGGGGUAACGGCUCACCUAGGCGACGAUCCCUAGCUGGUCUGAGAGGAUGACCAGCCACACUGGAACUGAGACACGGUCCAGA
This 338-nucleotide ribosomal RNA is filed under the name Shigella sonnei. RNAcentral describes it as "bacterial SSU rRNA". It matches the Rfam family "Bacterial small subunit ribosomal RNA", at positions 1 to 335 of the family's 1533-position model. Lineage: Bacteria; Pseudomonadati; Pseudomonadota; Gammaproteobacteria; Enterobacterales; Enterobacteriaceae. The record is from RNAcentral.